CUUCGAGCAGAGCAGACUUCGGUGAUUGGACGGAGACGACAGUGGAAAAAUUCCCCGGCGUGGACACAAAGAACUGUGCGGUACUAAUUGUGGAGUAAAAUGGCGCUGUCGUCUGCAGGAGGAACAAAGAAGAAAGUUUGCUAUUAUUAUGACGGUGACGUGGGUAAUUAUUACUAUGGUCAGGGUCAUCCCAUGAAGCCCCACAGGAUCCGUAUGACCCACAACCUGCUGCUCAACUAUGGACUGUACAGGAAGAUGGAGAUCUAUAGACCCCACAAGGCCAGUGGAGAGGAGAUGACCAAGUACCACAGUGACGACUACAUCAAGUUUCUGCGUUCCAUCCGGCCAGACAACAUGUCAGAGCACAGCAAACAGAUGCAGAGAUUUAAUGUGGGAGAGGACUGCCCAGUGUUUGACGGCCUAUUUGAGUUCUGUCAGCUCUCAACGGGAGGCUCUGUCGCGGGGGCAGUGAAGCUGAACAGGCAGCAGACGGACAUCGCCAUCAACUGGGCCGGAGGACUCCAUCAUGCCAAGAAGUCUGAGGCCUCGGGGUUCUGCUACGUCAACGACAUAGUCCUCGCCAUCCUGGAGCUGCUCAAGUACCACCAGAGGGUGUUGUACAUAGACAUCGACAUUCACCAUGGAGACGGAGUGGAAGAGGCUUUCUUCACCACAGACCGGGUCAUGACGGUGUCCUUCCACAAAUAUGGAGAAUACUUCCCUGGCACCGGAGACCUGAGGGACAUUGGAGCAGGGAAGGGGAAGUACUACGCUGUAAACUACCCUCUCAGAGACGGCAUCGACGAUGAGUCUUACGAAGCCAUCUUCAAACCUGUGAUGGCUAAAGUGAUGGAGAUGUUCCAGCCCAGUGCAGUCGUGUUACAGUGUGGAGCCGACUCUCUCUCAGGAGACAGACUGGGCUGUUUCAACCUCACCAUCAAAGGUCAUGCUAAGUGUGUUGAGUACAUGAAGAGUUUCAACCUGCCUCUGUUGAUGUUGGGAGGUGGAGGUUAUACCAUCCGUAAUGUGGCCCGCUGCUGGACCUACGAGACCGCUGUGGCUCUGGACAGCAUUAUACCUAACGAGCUGCCAUACAACGACUACUUUGAGUACUUUGGUCCUGACUUCAAGCUCCACAUCAGCCCGUCUAACAUGACCAACCAGAACACCAAUGAUUACCUGGAGAAGAUCAAACAGAGGUUGUUUGAGAACCUGCGUAUGCUGCCCCACGCUCCGGGGGUCCAGAUACAGGCCAUCCCAGAAGACGCUCCACACCCGGACUCUGGAGAUGAGGAGGACGAGGACCCUGACAAACGCAUCUCCAUCAGGGCCCAUGAUAAGAGGAUAGCCUGUGAAGAGGAGUUCUCUGACUCUGAGGAUGAGGGACAGGGAGGAGGGGGAAGGAGGAACGCUGCCAACCAUAAGAAGACCAAACGAGUCAAGACUGAGGAGGAGAAAGAGGAGACUGAAGAGAAGAAAGAAGUGAAAGACGAGGAUAAAGACGCUGAAGAGAAGAUGGACACAACAGGGCCAAAAGAAGAAGCUAAGACAUGUUGAAGCACCAGAUAUGAGUUUCCAGUUGUGUGUGUGUGUGUGUGUGUGUGUGUGUGUGUGUGUGUGUGUGUGUGUGUGUGUGUGUUAUAGAUCUGCCAUUUUUAAUUGAAAGGAAGUAUAUCUGUUCGGUCUUAUUUCUAUGCUUCCUUUAGUUUUAUUUUGAAGCACUUUGUUUUUAUAAAUCAGCUUCAAACAGCUGACAAUACAAUUUGUUUAUUUAUUAUGGAAAAGAUGGUAAAAUAUACGUGUUUUCAGUUUGACAAAUUAUUUGAAUUUUAACAACCAGGAAAUGUCAGAGCGAUUUCUGCGUAGUGCAGCCUUUUUAAGCACACUUUCCUAAUAUUGAGUUUCACCCACUGUCCUUUCACCCCCAGAACAGCCUCAAUUAAUCAAGGCGUGGACUCGACAAGGUGUUGGAAAGCGUUCCACAGGGAUGCUGGCCCAUGUCGACUCCCAAUGCUUCCCACAGUUGUGUCAAGUUGGCUGGAUGUCCUUUGGGUGGUGGAUGUUUCUUGAUACACACGGGAAACUGUUGAGUGUGAAAAACAGCGCUGCAGUUCUUGACUCAAACCGGUGCACCUGUCACCUACUACCGUACCCUGUUCAAAGGCACUUGGAUUGUGUAUGCGCAACAUAAAGAUUAGUCUCGGCUUAAAAAUCCUUCUUUAACCUGUCUCUUCCCUUCAUCUAUGUGGAUUUAACAAGUGACAUCUAAUUUAAUUUAACCAGGCAAGUAAGAACAAAUUCUUAUUUACAAUGACUGCGAAACCCCGAUGACGCUGGGCCAAUUGUGUGCCGCCCGAUCGCAGCUGAAUCCGAUACAGCCGGGAAUCGAACCGGGGACUGUAGUGGUGCCUCUUUCACUGAAAUGCAGUGCCUAGUGCCAUUCGGGAGCCCAAAUAAGGGAUAUCUGUCAGCCAAUUUCACGUUUUAUAUAUUAUACAUUCUGCUUUACUCUGUUCCCUGGGUUGGUGUCUCUCGGAUGACUGUACGCUCCACACUCCUUCCUUUUACCUCGUUUUAUAUUUCUAAAAGGAAAUGUUUUUGUUUUUAGGUCAUCGGGUAUGUUGAACGUUCAAGGGUGAGGUUUCCCCUCAGUGCGUAGGGGCAACUUCACCCUACACCGUUGGGAACCAUGUUGUAAACCCUUGGUGUUUUCUACUGUAAUAAGUGAGAAUAUGUGUGUAACUUGUUUU
This is an RNA transcript of Oncorhynchus tshawytscha (Chinook salmon), 2750 nucleotides long. It is a transcript of the gene named probable histone deacetylase 1-B, with no coding region annotated. The transcript has 15 exons. NCBI's taxonomy places the organism in Eukaryota, Metazoa, Chordata, Actinopteri, Salmoniformes, Salmonidae. The record is from RefSeq and is a predicted model, not a curated record.